This 398-nucleotide ribosomal RNA is filed under the name uncultured bacterium. RNAcentral describes it as "bacterial SSU rRNA". It matches the Rfam family "Bacterial small subunit ribosomal RNA", at positions 30 to 424 of the family's 1533-position model. The record is from RNAcentral.
AUUGAACGCUGGCGGCAGGCUUAACACAUGCAAGUCGAGCGGUAACAGAGAGGUGCUUGCACCUUUGCUGACGAGCGGCGGACGGGUGAGUAACGCGUAGGAAUCUACCUAGUAGUGGGGGAUAGCCCAGAGAAAUUUGGAUUAAUACCGCAUACGCCCUACGGGGGAAAGGAGGGGAUCUUCGGACCUUUCGCUAUUAGAUGAGCCUGCGUGAGAUUAGCUUGUUGGUGAGGUAAAGGCUCACCAAGGCGACGAUCUCUAGCUGGUCUGAGAGGAUGAUCAGCCACACUGGGACUGAGACACGGCCCAGACUCCUACGGGAGGCAGCAGUGGGGAAUAUUGCACAAUGGGGGGAACCCUGAUGCAGCCAUGCCGCGUGUGUGAAGAAGGCCUCGGUU